Molecule: ribosomal RNA, 1183 nt
Filed under: Halirages fulvocinctus
Lineage: Eukaryota; Metazoa; Arthropoda; Malacostraca; Amphipoda; Calliopiidae
Description: partial 28S ribosomal RNA
Rfam family: Eukaryotic large subunit ribosomal RNA
Source: RNAcentral
ACAGCCCAUCGCAUAAUCUCCCGGGCUACCCAGCCUGCGGCGAAAUGUUGCGUAAAGGGAAAGGUCGUUUCUAAGCCCUGCACAACGUGUACCUAAGUCUGGCUUGAUUGUGUCGCUGAUCUUUAACGGGAUCUACGGUACCAUAGAGGGUGACAGUCCCGUAUGGCCACGAGUUACAUGUGCAUGGGUUCGGCCUCAUUCCCUGAGAGUCGCGUUGCUUGAGCAUGCAGCGCUAAGCAGGACGUAAACUCGUCCUAAGGCUAAAUACAUCCACAAAACCGAUGUGAACAAGUACCGUGAGGGAAAGUUGAAAAGCACUCUGAAGAGAGAGUCAAAAGACCGUGAAACCGCUCAGAGUAUAAGCCAAUGGUUUUCGGAAAGCUGGGUCCGCACAAUCUCAGAGGUUGUGUAUCGUGUGUGUUGAAACUAUGUCGGUGUGGUAAGUGGCGGUCAUUGAGUUGAUAGCGCGUCGUAUGAGAACUCACGGGUCUCUGACAGUGGUAACAGGGGGGGCUUCUUGAGGGGCCGCCCCGAGGCUGGGCUUGAGUGAGCGGGCAUAGAUAUUGCACACUAAACGAGUGGACGUCAUACAGCUCACCACAAUUCUWUGAGGGGUCUCCCAUGCGAGGUGUGACUGUGUGGGCCGUGGUGAUCUGUGAACCGCUGUGCGCCAGUGUUCAGGGCGGCCGGUUCCGAUCACUUCCAGACGUGUGGCAGGUACGAUCCCUUCGAAGGUUGCAUUCUGACCAUCGUGAAGCCUGAAACACGCUGCGAGGGAGUUGCGGGUCCUAUGAAGCCUCAGUGAGGUGGGUGCUGUUCGCCCGACUGGUGGCUGAUGAUUGGUGACUAAUUCCGGGGCCAUUGGUCACGUCUCGAAACACGGGCCAAGGAGCAUAGCAUGUGCGCAAGUCGAAGGGUCCCACAAAACCCGGAGGCGAAGUGAAAGCAAGUUGGUGUGUUUGUUCGAGCUGCCUCAGUGGCGAGGGCAAGCAGCCCGGUGGUUAUUGUAAUUCUCAUCCGGAUGUAUGCAUUCCCGGCUUAUACCGAGCUGAUCCACCGUUAGCAAGCGUCCUCGCGCAACGGUGGCGCAAGCUCCAGGCUCUCCACAUCGCUUCUGAAGUGAGUGGGAGCACUGUGGAGCGUGCAUGCUAUGACCCGAAAGAUAGUGAACUAUGCCUGGCGA